CCCUUCGAUGUUCUGGGCUGCACGCGCGCUACACUGAUAAAGUCAACGAGUUUACAACCUUUUCUGAAAGGAAUGGGUAAUCUUUUGAAACUUUAUCGUGAUGGGGAUAGAAGAUUGCAAUUAUUUUUCUUGAACGAGGAAUGCCUAGUAAUAGUGGUUCAUCAGACCGCUGUGAUUACGUCCCUGCCCUUUGUACACACCGCCCGUCGCUCCUACCGAUUGAGUGGUCCGGUGAGGCUUUGGGAUCUGAGCGGAAAGAGCGUUUCGCUGUUUCUGCUCGGAAAACUCAGUCGAACCUCAUCAUUUAGAGGAAGGAGAAGUCGUAACA
This 328-nucleotide ribosomal RNA is filed under the name uncultured eukaryote. Its description in RNAcentral is "partial 18S ribosomal RNA". It matches the Rfam family "Eukaryotic small subunit ribosomal RNA", at positions 1470 to 1796 of the family's 1831-position model. The record is from RNAcentral.